UUCCAGAAGCAAUUUGGAGUGAGGC
Molecule: non-coding RNA, 25 nt
Filed under: Mus musculus (house mouse)
Lineage: Eukaryota; Metazoa; Chordata; Mammalia; Rodentia; Muridae
Also listed under: 1 other name
Source: RNAcentral